Pelobates cultripes (western spadefoot toad) is the source of this 218-nucleotide non-coding RNA. NCBI's taxonomy places the organism in Eukaryota, Metazoa, Chordata, Amphibia, Anura, Pelobatidae. The record is from the annotation of a GenBank genome assembly.
GGUUCACCAUGCUAGCACAUGGUGUCUGCACAUCUGCUCUGCAGCACAGCCAAGAAGGAAUAGAGAGGAAUGGAGAUAGGGGGAAAUGGUUAUCUCUUUCCUGACUUGUAAAGGUAUUGAAUUACCCAAUUACCAUAUUAAAGGGUAAAGCUUAACCCCCUGUAAGAAAGUCAUACAUGAACUUUGUUCACAUGACCCCUAGUCACCAUAUUAGUUUU